CGAUUUCUUCAGUUUGAUUUAAUUAAAAGAACAUUAUUUCGGACCUUUGCCCCCACCGCCUCUCCUUGAGACUCUGCAUCAGCGACGCUUCGUGACAUUAAGUGUAAGACUAACUGAGCCUUUCCAUAUCCAAUUUCCUUCCGAUUCACUUCUAUUGUUAAUCAAACAACUACUCCAACCCCACUCCAGCUACUGACGCUUCAAGACAAAACAAACACAGAUCACGCUGGUCGGAUAUGCACUGACUGUGAAUUGCUGCAGGACAGUGCUUGUGUUUUUAUGGCUUAAGGGGCACUACAGGGUGUCAUGGGAGUCUGAAAUGAGAAGUCGGGAGAAAAGCUUUCAACAAGACGUCUUACACAGAGUAAAUCCCUCGUGUGGAUUCUCAGAAAAUUGAAUCAGAGCCCACAUUUGUGGGUUAGCACUAUUGAAAUAUUUCUAAAGCAUUACACAUUUCUAGCAGCAUUUAUAAUGCAGACAGGCCAUAGUUGCACUUCUCUGAGGGGUGAGGUGGAGAACUACUUAAGGGAUCUAUGGGUUUUAAUGGGAUCCAUCACAUUCACAUCCUGGUUGUUUAUGUAAGUAACAGAACGGCCUUAAUCACAAUGGCAGCAUAACACUUUCUGUAACCGUGUAGCAGCAGAUGUUUAUAGUAUCUCCUCACUUCUACACAAGAGAACCAAAAAAAAAAAAAAAAAAAGUUUUAUUAUUCAGAUAAGGUGAAAGUUCUUUUGCCAACAAGAUAGUGGAGGGGGAAUGUAUAUUCACUGACAUAAUAUUACAAAUUUUAAAAACGCAAUGCAGAAAUGUAACAGGUAGGGUCAAUUGAAAGAAUCUGUACGUCUGCUGUAAUACUUUUUCAAUCACAUUUUUAUGGACACUGCAUAACUGGGUGAAACAAUUUAGUAGUUAAUUUUAGAUUUAGUAAUUUCCAUAUAUUAAGCUUCUCUGUUUAAGUAUCUUUAUGAUGUCUUAGCACUAUUACACAGUCUAGGUUGUCUUUGUCUCUUUUUUGUUCCUGACAAGUAAAUCCUUGAUCUGUUGGUGCCUGAUCUUUCAGUUUGUACAGAGUUAUAGCCUGUCAUCAGGAAAGAUGUGCAAUAUUGGCAGACUUGUGAAAUCAAAAGAUAAUUUGUGCUUCUGGGCCAUUGUAAAGUCUUGACUGAGCAGGUUUUGUCCUCUUAAAGCAAGCGUUCAAGACAAAUUCCCGUAGUGCGUAACAAACUCAUUUUAGUGUUGAGACAUUCAACAGCAGUUACAAAUAAGGUUUUUUGUGUGCAAUUUUUUUCUGCUUGAGGAAUAAAACUACGAAUGACAAUACACAGUACAAACAAAAUGUUGAAAUGGAUGGCUGAUGACUGUGAAUAAACCACUUAAUUUCCUAAACGUUUCAUUACAUGAUGAGGCACCUUUUGUAAGUCUCUGUGAUCAUUCCUAGUGGAAAGAAAAUGAGCAGCAUCUUAUGAAAUAAAAUCUUUA
Long non-coding RNA from Scatophagus argus, 1479 nucleotides. RefSeq lists it as uncharacterized. The transcript has 3 exons. Lineage: Eukaryota; Metazoa; Chordata; Actinopteri; Scatophagidae. The record is from RefSeq and is a predicted model, not a curated record.